RNAcentral lists this long non-coding RNA (2980 nucleotides) under Manihot esculenta (cassava). RNAcentral's name for it is "long non-coding RNA (MESC_LNC004260)". Lineage: Eukaryota; Viridiplantae; Streptophyta; Magnoliopsida; Malpighiales; Euphorbiaceae. The record is from RNAcentral.
ACAAAUUCAACCAAUGGAUAGAAAUUACAGAAUUUGAGCUGCUGUGUUCAACUUUUCUGCUAAGCUCAGCUGUGUCCUUGUGAUGCUUGACAAAUAUAGCAAGAGUAAGUGAUCCUGUAGGAACCAUGUGAAAGCAAAACCCAGAAAAGUCAGCAAAAAAAGCCAUUAAUGAUGAAGUAACUACAAAUCUACAACAAGAAAUUCAAAGAUAUGACCUCUCCAUAAUUAUAAUCUACAUACAAUACUAGGUCCAUCAUCAGAGAAUUUUCAAUUUUGGUAAUUCUGAUCAACCUAACAUUGCAUCAUUACCUGAAGACUAUCAUUCACUAGCUUAUCAAAGGCUGAUGGUGAAAGUUUGGGAAGGGAAGCAACAGUUUCAGAUAUAAACCGGCCUACGCUACUGUCUGCUGCGGCACGCCCUUCCUGUGGAAAACAAUCAUAUUAUCCCACAUGGCAAAAAGGUAAGAAUUAAUUAAAUGAGGCACCAAAUCUUACCACGACAUCAUCAACAUAUUUAUAGACAUCAUCAAUUAAGGCUAGUAGCCGCUGCAUUGAAGCUUCCAUUCCUUCCAAAUCACUUGGAAUUUUAUCAACCAUAGGUGUCUUAAGGAUGUCAACUACAGUUAUAAAAGAAAGAAAAAAAGCCUUAAUAACAUUGCAUCUGACACUAAAUGCAAUCUUAUACGUGCAACAUUAAAAUCUUUGGCUUUAUCAACAUUCAAUAGCACAGAACCAAAACAUCUAAUACUGGAUAUGAAAACAAUCACUGAAAGAAAAAAAAUGAAACAGCAAAUACUUAUAGCGAGAUAAAUCUAAUUUAGACACAAGAAAAUAAAUUAAAUACAGUUUGAUUUGGGAUAAAAGGAUUUGAAAUGGGGAGAUAUGAACUUGACAUUUAACUUAAAUUAGGUUUGGUUGGCUUGGAUCCAGCGGGCUGAAGCUUGUUUAAGGGUGAGGCAUGAACAUCUACAAAGAAGGCAGAAUUUUAAGUCUAUAGUUGUAUAAUUUGGACUAGACUUAAAUUCAUAUCAUUGAGUUUAAAGCCAUCCAUCAAAACCUAGCUUGACCUUAUCAAUAGAGUCCAGUAACUGUUGCAUUAGAAUGAUAUCUUUACAUUAUGAAAGAUGAAUAUUUCAUAUUGAAAAACAACCAAAAAGGAAUCUUAUAAUCAAUAGAAAAGUCUGCAGCCAGAGAAACACACACACAGAUAUAUUAUUCUAGUUUCACAGGCUAUUAUAAACUACACCUACAUAUGGAACUCAAAUUUGUUAGCCAAAUUACUGCAACAAUUACUUUCAUAAUUUGUUAGCCAACUUACUGCAACAAUUAAGAGCCUUGCCUAACCACAAAGCCUUCGCCCAACAUCAACAGAAGCAUAAUGAAAGUAAAGGGGGGAAAACAUGCAAGACCACAAAAGCCUAAGACUCCUAGUCAGAGUAGAACAGGGAUAACAUUUGUAAGUGAAAAUUUUAGUAGAAGAAAGAAAUUUUCAGAAUAUACAUACAUCCAACUCGCUCAGCUUCAACCAUGCGAAGAUCAACAGGAAUUUCUUGAAAUUGUGCAGCAAGCUGACGGUCUCCAAGAGACAAAUUAACAGAAACAUACGCUUUAAUGGUACCCCCUCCAUUCCUGAACCCUGUAUCCACUGUUAGAUGAAUGGGAUUGGGAACUUCUCUAGAAUAGAACUCAUGGAUCAAUGCACUUCCACCAGUGACCCCUAAUCCUGUUGAAUACCUGAAACCAAGUACUAAAGCAUGAAAAUGGAGCAUCUGUCUACAAAACACUUCUGAAAACAUAAAAUUUUAUUUUGAAAAUAUUCAUAUUUCAUAAAAGCUGCAUAGCCAUAGCUUGGUAGCUUAGGGAAGGGCUUUCCAACCUCAUCAAAUGCAGUGAUUCAAACAAAAUAUAGUACAGUAUGACCAAAAUUAAAGAAAAAAAAAAAGAGAUUUCAUUACUAGAGUUUACAAGGAAAAAAGAACCUUCUGCUGCAGUUUAUUGACAAUGAAAAUAUAAAGCAAACAAAAAUGAAGAUGAAAAUACCAUCAACAAAAUAUAGAAUGGUAAGACUCAUUACUAGAGUUUACAAGGCAACAACAACCUUCUAUUGCAGUUUAUUAACAAUGAAAAUACAAACCAAACAAAGAUGAAGAUGAAAAAUACCAUCCAACAAUAACUUCCUUAGGGUUCACUUUCUGGUGAGACAGCAACAUAUUAUGAUGGUAAUCAAUAUCUAGAGCAACCUGCAGCUGACACAUAAUUGAAAGAUGAGAAAAAGAGGAAAGACUUAAGAGAAGUUCAUGCUCAUAGCUCCAUUUUUUUUCAAUCCGUUAAAUAACAUGUAGUCGGUUCCACACAUACCAGAUUGGUCAGAAAUUUGAAGUUCUAGAAUUAAAUGAUAAAAAAGAAAAAUAGAGCUCAUAAGUGUUCAAGCUCUUCAGCGUCUCAUCCAACAUUCCAAAUUUCAGUUACAAAUAGCAUAAAUUUAGUAAAAUUCCUCAAAUUUUUCCUACUUACUAAGCUAGUCUUCUAGAUUCCUGCUAAGCAUGUAUCACCUCUGUGGAUUCAUUCAUAAGUCUAGCUUUUCAAACUAGCGUAAAACAAGCAUUAGCAAUGACGGAAACCUCUCUAAACAUGGAUUACAAAACUUUUUAGCUAUGAAGACACCGUUUCAUUCAAUUGGAAGUCAUCAUUACAAGUCACAAGCAACAAAAAAAAAAAAAACAUUCCAUAAUUAUCUUAAAAAAUGAAGCCAUUACCUGAUCAGAGAAUUCAUUGUGAGGUACAGCGUAUGAAUUUCGAAUGUCGACGGUGCCAUCUGAUAGGACGGAUCCGAGAAGCGUGCCAAUGACACGCUCGGCCUGGUCAGGCCGCCUCACGUAGCAAUCGCAGAUGUUGAAGAUCACCAAAGGGUGGACCUUCGCCGACAAGGUCGACGAGGAUGAAGUUGGGGAUAACUGAAGGACAGUGUGCUCGCUCGCCG